CCUACGGGCGGCAGCAGUAGGGAAUCUUUCACAAUGGGCGAAAGCCUGAUGGAGCAACGCCGCGUGCAGGAUGAAGGCCUUCGGGUUGUAAACUGCUUUUAUAAGCGAGAAAUAUGAUGGUAACUUAUGAAUAAGGAUCGGCUAACUACGUGCCAGCAGCCGCGGUCAUACGUAGGAUCCGAGCAUUAUCCGGAGUGACUGGGUGUAAAGAGUUGCGUAGGUGGCAUAAUAAGUAGCUAGUGAAAUCUGGUGGCUCAAACAUUCAGACUAUUGGCUAAACUGUUAAGCUCGAGACCGUUAGGGGUAACUGGAAUGUCUAGUGUAGGAGUGAAAUCCGUAGAUAUUAGAAGGAACACCAAUAGCGUAGGCAGGUUGCUGGGACGGUUCUGACACUAAGGCACGAAAGCGUAGGGAGCAAACGGGAUUAGAUACCCUGGUAGUC
RNAcentral lists this ribosomal RNA (442 nucleotides) under uncultured bacterium. Its description in RNAcentral is "partial 16S ribosomal RNA". It matches the Rfam family "Bacterial small subunit ribosomal RNA", at positions 338 to 795 of the family's 1533-position model. The record is from RNAcentral.